RNAcentral lists this non-coding RNA (24 nucleotides) under Arabidopsis thaliana (thale cress). The record is from RNAcentral. Lineage: Eukaryota; Viridiplantae; Streptophyta; Magnoliopsida; Brassicales; Brassicaceae.
GACACGACCAUUAAAUUUUGGGAC